RNAcentral lists this ribosomal RNA (195 nucleotides) under Triticum aestivum (bread wheat). RNAcentral's name for it is "partial small subunit ribosomal RNA". The record is from RNAcentral. Lineage: Eukaryota; Viridiplantae; Streptophyta; Magnoliopsida; Poales; Poaceae.
AUGACGAAGAUGUCGUUCUCCAGCAGCGCCCUCGUCCUCGUGCUGGCGUCCGUCGUCUCCGGCACCACCGGCUCGCACGCGGGAACGCCGGCGUGGGCGCGCGCGAAGGGCUCGGGCCCGGCGGGGUCGAGCACGGCCUCGUGCAGCCGCGGCCACGCCAGCACCAGCGCGUCCUGGUGGUGCUGCAGCACGUAG